RNAcentral lists this ribosomal RNA (449 nucleotides) under uncultured bacterium. RNAcentral describes it as "partial 16S ribosomal RNA". It matches the Rfam family "Bacterial small subunit ribosomal RNA", at positions 29 to 523 of the family's 1533-position model. The record is from RNAcentral.
AACGAACGCUGGCGGCAUGCCUAACACAUGCAAGUCGAACGAGACCUUCGGGUCUAGUGGCGCACGGGUGCGUAACGCGUGGGAAUCUACCCUUGGGUUCGGAAUAACAGUUAGAAAUGACUGCUAAUGCCGGAUGAUGACGUAAGUCCAAAGAUUUAUCGCCCAAGGAUGAGCCCGCGUAAGAUUAGCUUGUUGGUGGGGUAAUGGCCUACCAAGGCGACGAUCUUUAGCUGGUCUGAGAGGAUGAUCAGCCACACCGGGACUGGGACACGGCCCAGACUCCUACGGGAGGCAGCAGUGGGGAAUAUUGGACAAUGGGCGAAAGCCUGAUCCAGCAAUGCCGCGUGAGUGAUGAAGGCCUUAGGGUUGUAAAGCUCUUUUACCAGGGAUGAUAAUGACAGUACCUGGAGAAUAAGCUCCGGCUAACUCCGUGCCAGCCGCCGCGGUAA